AUGUUUGUUUCUAGGGAUCCAUAGGAUGAUUAUUUUCCUUUUCUCUUGUAUAUGAUUGACGAUGCUACACUUCUUUUCCCUGAUAUUAUUUGAUGAGAUAUUUCCAUAUGUGAUAAAAUGCUUAAUAUUUCACUUGUAUAUGAUUGACGAUGCUACACUUCUUUUCCCUGAUAUUAUUUGAUGAGAUAUUUCCAUAUGUGAUAAAAUGCUUAAUAUUUCCAGAAUUUGCAAA
RNAcentral lists this long non-coding RNA (232 nucleotides) under Lathyrus oleraceus (garden pea). Its description in RNAcentral is "Pisum sativum (pea) long non-coding RNA (PSAT_LNC035559)". The record is from RNAcentral. Lineage: Eukaryota; Viridiplantae; Streptophyta; Magnoliopsida; Fabales; Fabaceae.